UUCAGACCAUGGUAUAGGAACAUUACAGGUAAAAUUGCAGAUCAGGUGGUCUUGAAAGGGGACAACUUUACUUAUUUUAACAAUAUUUCAGUAAAAUAUAAUAAAAUAUGUUUAAAAAAAUAUUCAUUGCUAUAAGAUUUGCUCCCUUAAGAUUCGAGCUUAGAUCAUUUUAUAUCAAUUAAAAACAAAAUAAAAGAGCUAAAGAAUGUCCAAUGAUCUAA
RNAcentral lists this long non-coding RNA (221 nucleotides) under Brassica napus (rape). RNAcentral describes it as "long non-coding RNA (BNAP_LNC024065)". Lineage: Eukaryota; Viridiplantae; Streptophyta; Magnoliopsida; Brassicales; Brassicaceae. The record is from RNAcentral.